RNAcentral lists this transfer RNA (85 nucleotides) under Felis catus (domestic cat). It matches the Rfam family "tRNA". Rfam says of the family: Transfer RNA (tRNA) molecules are approximately 80 nucleotides in length. RNAcentral also lists the same sequence under 2 other names. Lineage: Eukaryota; Metazoa; Chordata; Mammalia; Carnivora; Felidae. The record is from Rfam by way of RNAcentral.
GCCUGGGUGGCUCAGUUGGUUAAGCGUCUGACUUCGGCUUAGGUCAUGAUCUCGCGGUUUGUGGGUUUGAGCCCCGCGUCAGGCU